CAGGAUGAGCGCACGCGGUGAG
RNAcentral lists this unclassified non-coding RNA (22 nucleotides) under Mus musculus (house mouse). RNAcentral's name for it is "oocyte_clustered_small_RNA401". Lineage: Eukaryota; Metazoa; Chordata; Mammalia; Rodentia; Muridae. The record is from RNAcentral.